GCUUCCUACGGGAGGCAGCAGUGGGGAAUUUUGGACAAUGGGCGCAAGCCUGAUCCAGCAAUGCCGCGUGAGUGAAGAAGGCCUUCGGGUUGUAAAGCUCUUUUGUCAGGGAAGAAACGGCUGAGGAUAAUACCUUCGGCUAAUGACGGUACCUGAAGAAUAAGCACCGGCUAACUACGUGCCAGCAGCCGCGGUAAUACGUAGGGUGCAAGCGUUAAUCGGAAUUACUGGGCGUAAAGCGUGCGCAGGCGGUUUUGUAAGUCUGACGUGAAAUCCCCGGGCUCAACCUGGGAAUUGCGUUGGAGACUGCAAGGCUGGAGUCUGGCAGAGGGGGGUAGAAUUCCACGUGUAGCAGUGAAAUGCGUAGAGAUGUGGAGGAACACCGAUGGCGAAGGCAGCCCCCUGGGUCAAGACUGACGCUCAUGCACGAAAGCGUGGGGAGCAAACAGGAUUAGAUACCCUGGUAGUCCACGCCCUAAACGAUGUCUACUAGUUGUCGGGUCUUAAUUGACUUGGUAACGCAGCUAACGCGUGAAGUAGACCGCCUGGGGAGUACGGUCGCAAGAUUAAAACUCAAAGGAAUUGACGGAA
Molecule: ribosomal RNA, 591 nt
Filed under: uncultured bacterium
Lineage: Bacteria
Description: bacterial SSU rRNA
Rfam family: Bacterial small subunit ribosomal RNA
Source: RNAcentral